CGAGCAGCCGGUGCGGUUCAGCCGCACCGGCGGUUCGGGCCCGGCGGCGCUGCUGCACGCGUGGCUCGGCGUGCCGGUCGUCUACCUCGGC
Molecule: transfer RNA, 91 nt
Filed under: Lentzea sp. NBRC 105346
Lineage: Bacteria; Bacillati; Actinomycetota; Actinomycetes; Pseudonocardiales; Pseudonocardiaceae
Description: tRNA-Pro
Source: RNAcentral